Non-coding RNA from Podarcis lilfordi (Lilford's wall lizard), 163 nucleotides. Lineage: Eukaryota; Metazoa; Chordata; Lepidosauria; Squamata; Lacertidae. The record is from the annotation of a GenBank genome assembly.
GCUGUAGCUCAGUGGUAGAGCAUUGGCGCUGCCAGUCAGUGUGGGCAGUAUUAUCUCAGUGGUCUGACUCAGUAGAAGACAGCUUUCUGUGUUAGUAUUUGGGAAGGGCUACAGCGUCUACCUGGCCUGCAGAAGGUCCCUGGUUCAAUCCCCAGCGUCUCCA